Molecule: ribosomal RNA, 115 nt
Filed under: Chrysemys picta bellii (western painted turtle)
Lineage: Eukaryota; Metazoa; Chordata; Testudines; Emydidae
Source: RNAcentral
UUAAAUUAGCCAUAUAACCCUGAAAGCAUCCAGUCUUGUCUGAUCUCAGAAGUUAGGCAGGGUUGGGGCUGAUUACUACUUGGAUGGGAGGUCCUGGAACUAGCUAUAGUUAGAG